RNAcentral lists this ribosomal RNA (489 nucleotides) under uncultured bacterium. Its description in RNAcentral is "bacterial SSU rRNA". It matches the Rfam family "Bacterial small subunit ribosomal RNA", at positions 355 to 861 of the family's 1533-position model. The record is from RNAcentral.
UGGGGAAUCUUGGACAAUGGGGGCAACCCUGAUCCAGCCAUGCCGCGUGAGUGAUGAAGGCCUUAGGGUCGUAAAGCUCUUUCGCCUGUGAAGAUAAUGACGGUAGCAGGUAAAGAAACCCCGGCUAACUCCGUGCCAGCAGCCGCGGUAAUACGGAGGGGGUUAGCGUUGUCGGAAUUACUGGGCGUAAAGCGCACGUAGGCGGACCAGAAAGUUGGGGGUGAAAUCCCGGGGGCUCAACCCCGGAACUGCCUCCAAAACUAUUGGUCUAGAGUUCGAGAGAGGUGAGUGGAAUUCCAAGUGUAGAGGUGAAAUUCGUAGAUAUUUGGAGGAACACCAGUGGCGAAGGCGGCUCACUGGCUCGAUACUGACGCUGAGGUGCGAAAGUGUGGGGAGCAAACAGGAUUAGAUACCCUGGUAGUCCACACCGUAAAACGAUGAAUGCCAGUCGUCGGGUAGCAUGCUAUUCGGUGACACACCUAACGGAUU